Molecule: long non-coding RNA, 1184 nt
Organism: Dermochelys coriacea (leatherback sea turtle)
Lineage: Eukaryota; Metazoa; Chordata; Testudines; Dermochelyidae
Exons: 3
Source: RefSeq, a predicted model, not a curated record
CUGUGGAGGGAGAAAGGUCUGGCUCCUGGGGAGUGUACCAGGGUACCUGAGGUGAAGCAGGGCUGGGGAAGGCCAGAGGAGCUGGGAGGCUCCAGACUGGAAAAGCCCCAGGCUGCAGUCCUGGCAGACAGCCUAAGACAGGGUACUGGGGUUGCAACAGGGCAGCCCAAGGGUAGGUAGAGGCAGCAAGUCCAAACCCCCCUUGCCUAUGAUAAAUGGCUAAUAUAGACUGGAGUUGGCACCGUGAAAAGGGGCUAGAUGGUGACUGGCAGUAGCCCAUAGGAUGAGGCAAGGUGGGGAUAGAGGGUGGGGGGUUCCCCAGGGAGGGGAGAUCCAGAUUUGUGGGGUAUUGCCUGGAAGGGCAGCACCCCAGGAAAAAAGGGGAACCGGUGUCUGGGAGGGACAUGGGGGCCAGCGACGGCAAGACACCGGCAGAGGGCGCUCCGGAGCUGGUAAAAAGAACUAAUUCCCAGAAAGCCAGCAGGAGGCGCCGCAGGGGUGAGUCUCGCCCCAUUACACAUGGACUCAGUGACAUUCUCUGCAAAGAAGUAUUGGAUUUCCUGCAAUGUAUCUUCAUGAUAAUGUUGAAUAAGGAGGAGAGGAUGUGGGUGACAGUCCCAUUGGAACACAAAUGGCUCUAGUUUCCUUGGCCAGUGUGACCCCCUACCUUUUCCCAAAAAUAGCUGCAUCAAAUCUAUUGAAACUACCAGCAACAACUAAGUUGCAGUGUGAGAAAGCCACAAAACCAACAGAAGAAACCAACUCUAUAGAGGAAACAGCAAAAAAGUGACUAUGGACAAAAUCAAAGACGGAAAGUCCCCUAUGUAGAGGAGCAGCACAACGGAUACACACCACUGAAAUUGUACUUAAGCCACAAGAUAGGACAUAAGUGAUGCGUAGUUAUGUGCUGACCUUCUACACCAGUGGUUCUCAAUCUAUUUGUUACCUGGGCCACAGGUUGAGAACCACAGCGCCCCUCCGCACCGACCCCUAUGCUCAGCGCCCCCUGCCCAGAGACCCCUCCACAGAAGGGGACCAGGAGUGGAGUUCUGGGUGGGGGCCGGGUUGCAGGGACCCUGGACCCUGUGGGGCUGGCCGGCGGCCCUGAUGCCAGCCCCAGACCCCAUGGGACAGCCCCUGGACCCUGUGGGGUUUUCCUUACUCUCUUUUAGUUAUAGUAAUCA